UACGUAUGGUGCGAGCGUUGUCUGGAUUUACUGGGCGUGAAGGGGGCGCAGGCGGCGCGCCAAGCCCGAUGUGAAAGCCCGGGGCUCAACCCCGGGACUGCAUUGGGAACUGGCGUGCUGGAGCGCCGGAGGGGCAGGCGGAAUUCCUGGUGUAGCAGUGAAAUGCGUAGAUAUCAGGAGGAACACCGGUGGCGAAGGCGGCCUGCUGGACGGAUACUGACGCUGAGGCCCGAAAGCGUGGGGAGCGAACAGG
This 253-nucleotide ribosomal RNA is filed under the name uncultured bacterium. Its description in RNAcentral is "partial 16S ribosomal RNA". It matches the Rfam family "Bacterial small subunit ribosomal RNA", at positions 524 to 776 of the family's 1533-position model. The record is from RNAcentral.